This 496-nucleotide ribosomal RNA is filed under the name uncultured bacterium. RNAcentral's name for it is "partial 16S ribosomal RNA". It matches the Rfam family "Bacterial small subunit ribosomal RNA", at positions 29 to 507 of the family's 1533-position model. The record is from RNAcentral.
AUUAACGCUGGCGGCGUGCCUAAUACCUGCAAGUCGAGCGAACGGGCGAGAAGCUUGCUUCUCUGAUGUUAGCGGCGGACGGGUGAGUAACACGCGGAUAACCUACCUAUAAGACUGGGAUAACUUCGGGAAACCGGAGCUAAUACCGGAUAAUAUUUUGAACCGCAUGGUUCAAAAGUGAAAGACGGUCUUGCUGUCACUUAUAGAUGGAUCCGCGCUGCAUUAGCUAGUUGGUAAGGUAACGGCUUACCAAGGCAACGAUGCAUAGCCGACCUGAGAGGGUGAUCGGCCACACUGGAACUGAGACACGGUCCAGACUCCUACGGGAGGCAGCAGUAGGGAAUCUUCCGCAAUGGGCGAAAGCCUGACGGAGCAACGCCGCGUGAGUGAUGAAGGUCUUCGGAUCGUAAAACUCUGUUAUUAGGGAAGAACAUAUGUGUAAGUAACUGUGCACAUCUUGACGGUACCUAAUCAGAAAGCCACGGCUAACUACGUG